GUGUCAGCCGCCGCGGUAAUACGGAGGGUGCAAGCGUUAAUCGGAAUUACUGGGCGUAAAGCGCACGCAGGCGGUUGGAUAAGUUAGAUGUGAAAGCCCCGGGCUCAACCUGGGAAUUGCAUUUAAAACUGUCCAGCUAGAGUCUUGUAGAGGGGGGUAGAAUUCCAGGUGUAGCGGUGAAAUGCGUAGAGAUCUGGAGGAAUACCGGUGGCGAAGGCGGCCCCCUGGACAAAGACUGACGCUCAGGUGCGAAAGCGUGGGGAGCAAACAGGAUUAGAUACCCUGGUAGUCCACGCCGUAAACGAUGUCGAUUUGGAGGCUGUGUCCUUGAGACGUGGCUUCCGGAGCUAACGCGUUAAAUCGACCGCCUGGGGAGUACGGCCGCAAGGUUAAAACUCAAAUAAAUUGACGG
Molecule: ribosomal RNA, 412 nt
Filed under: uncultured bacterium
Lineage: Bacteria
Description: bacterial SSU rRNA
Rfam family: Bacterial small subunit ribosomal RNA
Source: RNAcentral